This 819-nucleotide ribosomal RNA is filed under the name Acinetobacter baumannii Naval-18. Its description in RNAcentral is "bacterial SSU rRNA". It matches the Rfam family "Bacterial small subunit ribosomal RNA", at positions 55 to 868 of the family's 1533-position model. The record is from RNAcentral. Lineage: Bacteria; Pseudomonadati; Pseudomonadota; Gammaproteobacteria; Moraxellales; Moraxellaceae.
AUGCAAGUCGAGCGGGGGAAGGUAGCUUGCUACCGGACCUAGCGGCGGACGGGUGAGUAAUGCUUAGGAAUCUGCCUAUUAGUGGGGGACAACAUCUCGAAAGGGAUGCUAAUACCGCAUACGUCCUACGGGAGAAAGCAGGGGAUCUUCGGACCUUGCGCUAAUAGAUGAGCCUAAGUCGGAUUAGCUAGUUGGUGGGGUAAAGGCCUACCAAGGCGACGAUCUGUAGCGGGUCUGAGAGGAUGAUCCGCCACACUGGGACUGAGACACGGCCCAGACUCCUACGGGAGGCAGCAGUGGGGAAUAUUGGACAAUGGGGGGAACCCUGAUCCAGCCAUGCCGCGUGUGUGAAGAAGGCCUUAUGGUUGUAAAGCACUUUAAGCGAGGAGGAGGCUACUUUAGUUAAUACCUAGAGAUAGUGGACGUUACUCGCAGAAUAAGCACCGGCUAACUCUGUGCCAGCAGCCGCGGUAAUACAGAGGGUGCGAGCGUUAAUCGGAUUUACUGGGCGUAAAGCGUGCGUAGGCGGCUUAUUAAGUCGGAUGUGAAAUCCCCGAGCUUAACUUGGGAAUUGCAUUCGAUACUGGUGAGCUAGAGUAUGGGAGAGGAUGGUAGAAUUCCAGGUGUAGCGGUGAAAUGCGUAGAGAUCUGGAGGAAUACCGAUGGCGAAGGCAGCCAUCUGGCCUAAUACUGACGCUGAGGUACGAAAGCAUGGGGAGCAAACAGGAUUAGAUACCCUGGUAGUCCAUGCCGUAAACGAUGUCUACUAGCCGUUGGGGCCUUUGAGGCUUUAGUGGCGCAGCUAACGCGAUAAGUAGA